Molecule: transfer RNA, 75 nt
Filed under: Archaeoglobaceae archaeon
Lineage: Archaea; Methanobacteriati; Methanobacteriota; Archaeoglobi; Archaeoglobales; Archaeoglobaceae
Description: tRNA-Lys
Rfam family: tRNA
About the family: Transfer RNA (tRNA) molecules are approximately 80 nucleotides in length. Their secondary structure includes four short double-helical elements and three loops (D, anti-codon, and T loops).
Source: RNAcentral
GGGCCGGUAGCUCAGCCAGGUCGGAGCAGCGGACUCUUAAUCCGCCGGUCGGGGGUUCGAAUCCCUCCCGGCCCG